RNAcentral lists this ribosomal RNA (253 nucleotides) under uncultured bacterium. RNAcentral describes it as "partial 16S ribosomal RNA". It matches the Rfam family "Bacterial small subunit ribosomal RNA", at positions 524 to 776 of the family's 1533-position model. The record is from RNAcentral.
UACGUAGGGGGCAAGCGUUGUCCGGAAUCAUUGGGCGUAAAGAGCGCGUAGGCGGUCCGGUAAGUCCGCUCUGAAAGUCCGGGGCUCAACCCCGGGAGGCGGGCGGAUACUGUCGGGCUAGAGUCCGGAAGAGGCGAGUGGAAUUCCUGGUGUAGCGGUGAAAUGCGCAGAUAUCAGGAGGAAUACCGAUGGCGAAGGCAGGUCUCUGGGCUAACACUGACGCUCAUGCACGAAAGCGUGGGGAGCAAACAGG